RNAcentral lists this non-coding RNA (155 nucleotides) under Acetobacteraceae bacterium. RNAcentral's name for it is "6S RNA". It matches the Rfam family "6S / SsrS RNA". Rfam says of the family: E. coli 6S RNA was the first non coding RNA to be sequenced, but its function was unknown until recently. Lineage: Bacteria; Pseudomonadati; Pseudomonadota; Alphaproteobacteria; Acetobacterales; Acetobacteraceae. The record is from RNAcentral.
GCGGGGCUGCCCGGUGCGUCAGGCAAUUCAUCCCCGGGGCCAACAAGCAUCCUCCGGGAGCUGGCUCUGUCCGGAUCGUGGUCCGGAUAUCUGGCGCCCACCUGCUAGCGCAGGCCUUGGGAGGAUGAGACGCCAACGGCCAUGGUGGCUCCGCA